Molecule: ribosomal RNA, 429 nt
Filed under: bacterium
Lineage: Bacteria
Description: partial 16S ribosomal RNA
Rfam family: Bacterial small subunit ribosomal RNA
Source: RNAcentral
UAGGGAAUCUUCCACAAUGGACGCAAGUCUGAUGGAGCAACGCCGCGUGAGUGAAGAAGGUUUUCGGAUCGUAAAGCUCUGUUGUUGGUGAAGAAGGAUAGAGGCAGUAACUGGUCUUUAUUUGACGGUAAUCAACCAGAAAGUCACGGCCAACUACGUGCCAGCAGCCGCGGUAAUACGUAGGUGGCAAGCGUUGUCCGGAUUUAUUGGGCGUAAAGCGAGCGCAGGCGGAAUGAUAAGUCUGAUGUGAAAGCCCACGGCUCAACCGUGGAACUGCAUCGGAAACUGUCAUUCUUGAGUGCAGAAGAGGAGAGUGGAAUUCCAUGUGUAGCGGUGGAAUGCGUAGAUAUAUGGAAGAACACCAGUGGCGAAGGCGGCUCUCUGGUCUGCAACUGACGCUGAGGCUCGAAAGCAUGGGUAGCGAACAGG